Non-coding RNA from Bactrocera oleae (olive fruit fly), 639 nucleotides. Lineage: Eukaryota; Metazoa; Arthropoda; Insecta; Diptera; Tephritidae. The record is from RefSeq and is a predicted model, not a curated record.
AUACCAACUUGAAAGUUUUUAUGUUUUAUUAAAGAGCUCAAAUAUGAUAGAAUAAUAGGUAGAAUAAUUAAUGAUGACAAGCUUAUUACGGAGCGUGAAUCAAUUAUUUUAUCAAGACCCAAGUCGAUAGAAGAAACCGAGAGAAUAUUGUAACUAAAUUAAAAAAAAGAAAACACAAAAAAAUAUUGGAUUAUUUGACGCAGUCUGUCAUAAAUAUGGCAUUAAUGCAAUGAAAUUUCCCACCGAAUGGAAAACGCCAACAUGUGCAUAUAAAUUACUCCAACUUUUCAAUUCUUUCUGUACAACUUUGAAUAUAAAGCACCUGAAAUACCAUCCUUAAAAUUUAAUCAAAACUGGAUAGCUACAAUAGUUAAUUACACACUUAUGCAAAACAAUUGUGUGUAUAUUCAAAAAGACCGAUCGAGAAAACAUUGACCCAAAUGGCUUCUUCGUUGGCUGUGGAAAAUCUUACAAAAUUACAAAGAAGAGUUUCAGGUUAAACAUUUCCUCAUUCCUCUCAAGGUACUACGCAACUCUCUUGAGAGAAAAAGCCAGAGUAGUGAUAUAAAAAGAGAUAAGGUUCUCCUGAGCUGUGGUGGAUUAAAAAAAGUUUCAAUUUAAAAAUGCAAACGACUGAAC